This is a long non-coding RNA of Etheostoma spectabile (orangethroat darter), 135 nucleotides long. RefSeq lists it as uncharacterized. The record is from RefSeq and is a predicted model, not a curated record. NCBI's taxonomy places the organism in Eukaryota, Metazoa, Chordata, Actinopteri, Perciformes, Percidae. The transcript is spliced from 3 exons.
AGAAAAACUUUAUUGCCAAAAGCUUUUUACACAUACAAGGAAUCUGUAUUGGUGUUGUAGGUGCAUGUCACACAUUCUCUAAAAAAAGAAAAUAAGAAAAUCAAGUAUUAGACUAAAAACAAUAUACGUAUAAAU